This 460-nucleotide ribosomal RNA is filed under the name uncultured bacterium. RNAcentral describes it as "partial 16S ribosomal RNA". It matches the Rfam family "Bacterial small subunit ribosomal RNA", at positions 338 to 795 of the family's 1533-position model. The record is from RNAcentral.
CCUACGGGAGGCAGCAGUGAGGAAUAUUGGUCAAUGGGCGCGAGCCUGAACCAGCCAAGUAGCGUGAAGGAUGACUGCCCUACGGGUUGUAAACUUCUUUUAUAAGGGAAUAAAGUGAGGCACGUGUACCUUUUUGUAUGUACUUUAUGAAUAAGGAUCGGCUAACUCCGUUCCAGCAGCCGCGGUAAUACGGAGGAUACGAGCGUUAUCCGGAUUUAUUGGGUUUAAAGGGAGCGUAGAUGGGUUGUUAAGUCAGUUGUGAAAGUUUGCGGCUCAACCGUAAAAUUGCAAUUGAUACUGGCAGUCUUGAGUAUAGUUGAGGUAGGCGGAAUUCGUGGUGUAGCGGUGAAAUGCUUAGAGAUCACGAAGAACUCCGAUUGCGAAGGCAGCUUACUAAACUGACACUGACAUUGAUGCUCGAAAGUGUGGGGAUCAAACAGGAUUAGAUACCCUUGUAGUC